UUAUAUGGUCAAGAAGAGAAGCGCAAACGGUGGAUGCCUUGGCAGUAAGAGGCGAAGAAGGACGUGGAAUCCUGCGAAAAGCUAUGGGGAGCUGGAAACGAGCGUUGAGCCAUAGAUGUCCGAAUGGGGGAACCCGGCUGCAGCGAUGCGGUCAUUUGCAUUUGAAUACAUAGGAUGCAAAGGCGAACUCGGGGAACUGAAACAUCUAAGUACCCGAAGGAAAAGAAAUCAAGAGAGAUUCUCCAAGUAGCGGCGAGCGAACGGGGAGGAGCCUGGCGUGAUUUAUUAUUGAACUGAGUAGAACAAUUUGGGAAAGUUGGCGAUAGAGGGUGAAAGCCCCGUAUACGAAGGUUUGAUGAGGAACUAGGCACGCGAACAAGUAGGCCGGGACACGUGAAAUCCUGGUUGAAGAUGGGUGGACCAUCAUCCAAGGCUAAAUACUACUUACUGACCGAUAGUGAACCAGUACCGUGAGGGAAAGGUGAAAAGAACCCCGGAGAGGGGAGUGAAAUAGAAUCUGAAACCGUUUGCGUACAAGCAGUGGGAGCAUGGUUUAGGCUGUGUGACUGCGUACCUUUUGUAUAAUGGGUCAGCGAGUUACUUUCAGUGGCGAGGUUAACUGCAUAAGGGAGCCGUAGAGAAAUCGAGUCUGAAUAGGGCGAUAGUCGCUGGGAGUAGACCCGAAACCGGGCGAUCUAGCCAUGUGCAGGAUGAAGGUUGGGUAACACCAACUGGAGGUCCGAACCGGGUAAUGUUGAAAAAUUAUCGGAUGACGUGUGGCUAGGAGUGAAAGGCUAAUCAAGCCCGGAGAUAGCUGGUUCUCCCCGAAAGCUAUUUAGGUAGCGCCUCGUGAAUGAUUACUGGGGGUAGAGCACUGUUUCGGCUAGGGGGCUGUCAUGGCUUACCAAACCGAUGCAAACUCCGAAUACCGGCUAAUUGAAUCACGGGAGACACACGGCGGGUGCUAACGUCCGUCGUGGAGAGGGAAACAACCCAGACCGCCAGCUAAGGUCCCCAAGUACUAGUUAAGUGGGAAACGAUGUGGGAAGGCAUAGACAGCCAGGAGGUUGGCUUAGAAGCAGCCACCCUUUAAAGAAAGCGUAAUAGCUCACUGGUCGAGUCGGCCUGCGCGGAAGAUGUAACGGGGCUAAAACUAGUCACCGAAGCUGCGGAUGUGCGCGAAGGCGCACGUGGUAGGGGAGCGUUCUGUAGGCUGAUGAAGGUGCAUUGAGAAGUGUGCUGGAGGUAUCAGAAGUGCGAAUGCUGACAUGAGUAACGAUAAUGUGGGUGAAAAGCCCACACGCCGGAAGUCCCAGGUUUCCUGCACGACGUUAAUCGGAGCAGGGUGAGUCGGCCCCUAAGGCGAGGC
RNAcentral lists this ribosomal RNA (1369 nucleotides) under Legionella pneumophila subsp. pneumophila. RNAcentral's name for it is "partial 23S ribosomal RNA". It matches the Rfam family "Bacterial large subunit ribosomal RNA", at positions 1 to 1402 of the family's 2925-position model. The record is from RNAcentral. Lineage: Bacteria; Pseudomonadati; Pseudomonadota; Gammaproteobacteria; Legionellales; Legionellaceae.